GAUGAAGAACGUAGCAAAAUGCGAUAAGUAAUGUGAAUUGCAGAAUUCAGUGAAUCAUCGAAUCUUUGAACGCACAUUGCGCCCGCUGGUAUUCCGGCGGGCAUGCCUGUUCGAGCGUCAUUUCAACCCUCAAGCUCUCCGGAGUUUGGUGUUGGGGCGCCUGGGGCUUUUCGACCUCAGGGCCCUCAAGUCCAUCGGCGGGACCGCCAGGACACUGAGCGCAGUAGUAUUAUUUCGCUCGGUAGGAUCUUCCACGGCGGGUCGAUCUGGCCGCUAAACCCCCCAAUUCUCACCAAAGGUUGACCUCGGAUCAGGUAGGAAUACCCGCUGAACUUAAGCAUAUCAAUAAGCGGAGGA
RNAcentral lists this unclassified non-coding RNA (357 nucleotides) under soil metagenome. Its description in RNAcentral is "partial contains 5.8S ribosomal RNA, internal transcribed spacer 2, and large subunit ribosomal RNA". The stretch from base 1 to 120 matches the Rfam family "5.8S ribosomal RNA", at positions 35 to 154 of the family's 154-position model. The record is from RNAcentral.